Molecule: ribosomal RNA, 541 nt
Filed under: uncultured bacterium
Lineage: Bacteria
Description: bacterial SSU rRNA
Rfam family: Bacterial small subunit ribosomal RNA
Source: RNAcentral
AACUCUAGUUUAAGAGUUGAUCAUGGCUCACAUUGAACNGUUGGCGGCAGGCUUAACACAUGCAAGUCGAGCGGGGAAGUGGUAGCUUGCUACCUGACCUAGCGGCGGACGGGUGAAGGGUUUAAAAAUUUGGCCCUUUAGGAAUCUGCCUAUUAGUGGGGGACAACAUCUCGAAAGUGGAUGCUAAUACCGCAUACGUCCUACGGGAGAAAGCAGGGGAUCUUCGGACCUUGCGCUAAUAGAUGAGCCUAAGUCGGAUUAGCUAGUUGGUGGGGUAAAGGCCUACCAAGGCGACGAUCUGUAGCGGGUCUGAGAAGGAUGAUCCGCCACACUGGGACUGAGACACGGCCCAGACUCCUACGGGAAGCAGCAGUGGGGAAUAUUGGACAAUUGGGGGGAACCCUGAUCCAGCCAUGCCGCGUGUGUGAAGAAGGCCUUAUGGUUGUAAAGCACUUUAAGCGAGGAGGAGGCUACUUUAGUUAAUACCUAGAGAUAGUGGACGUUACUCGCAGAAUAAGCACCGGCUAACUCUGUGCCAGCA